AUUGAACGCUGGCGGCAGGCCUAAUACAUGCAAGUCGAACGGUAACAUAAGAAAGCUUGCUUUCUUGAUGACGAGUGGCGGACGGGUGAGUAAUAUUUGGGAAGCUACCUGAUAGAGGGGGACAACAGUUGGAAACGACUGCUAAUACCGCAUAAAGCCUGAGGGUGAAAGCAGCAAUGCGCUAUCAGAUGCGCCCAAAUGGGAUUAGCUAGUAGGUGAGGUAAAGGCUCCCCUAGGCGACGAUCUCUAGCUGGUCUGAGAGGAUGAUCAGCCACAUUGGGACUGAGACACGGCCCAGACUCCUACGGGAGGCAGCAGUAGGGAAUAUUGCACAAUGGGGGAAACCCUGAUGCAGCCAUGCCGCGUGUGUGAAGAAGGCCUUCGGGUUGUAAAGCACUUUCGGAGGGGAGGAACAAAUGACGUUACCCUCAGAAGAAGCACCGGCUAACUCCGUGCCAGCCGCCGCCGUAA
This 471-nucleotide ribosomal RNA is filed under the name uncultured bacterium. RNAcentral describes it as "partial 16S ribosomal RNA". It matches the Rfam family "Bacterial small subunit ribosomal RNA", at positions 30 to 523 of the family's 1533-position model. The record is from RNAcentral.